UGCUUUCUUUGAUUCUAAGCAUCUUUUACUUGAUCCCUCAUCAAGGUUACUGCAGUAUUCAGUUUACAGGGGUCUUUAAUAUCUGUAAAGAGCACCAUAAAUGCACUGGCCACCACAAGGUCACAAGGGGAAGAUCAUGAAAGAAUAGAUUUUGUUUUUUGUUAUGUGUCAAUAAAACGAUCAGCCUCAUUCUCUUUUUGGGUUCUUGUGGUGUUAACCCAAAACCCCCUGGGCUGCAGAAGGAAUUCUCCCUCCUGUCUGUUUUCAAGGCUAAGUAAGUACAAGAUCUGAAUUUUAAAGUUUUCAAAACAACCCCAUCAAAUCACUCCCAGGAAUUUUUAACACUUACAGUAAGACCCUAUUAUCCCUGCUGAUCUCACUGGCUUGGUGGUGAGGAAAUAAAAGUUAGAAAGUGACACUGAAAUUGCUUCCUUUCUCUACACCAACUUGCAUCUUUAAAUCUGCACUUCAGAUCAGAGGGGGAAAGAGAUGAAAUAGAAGGUAAAGGGAAAAUGUCACUCCGGAAUGAUCUGAAUUCACUCAAGAAACGGAGAGUGAAAUUAAAGUGGCUUAAAGAAGAACUAAGUGGCUUUCAGGAUGCUGCCUCCACGUUCCCUCUGGAGAAGAAGAGGAGGUGGGUUUAAACAGCAGGAAGUGAUUCUGGCAUGGAAGACUUCAGGACAGAAGGGCAGCUCUGGAAACUUAGAUAUCGGUGGGACCUGAGAACCACCCUGCCCCCAUGUUAUUCAAACAGCGAGAUAGAAUACGUAAGAAACUUCGGGCAGGUGUGGAUGAACAUUUCUGAUGUUUACAGUUACUUAGUGUGGAUUAGGAAAAACAUAACUGAUCUCCUGUCUCAGUUGGUGGCAGCUUCAUCCUUCUAGCUGCUCAAGCAAAAACACUGGAGUAAUUAUGCCUCCUCCUUUUAUCUCAUACCCCAGGUUCGAUCCACCAGGAACUCUGGAUUGACCUUCAAACCAUACCCAGAGUCAGCCACUCAUCACUACCUUCCUGGCUUCACACUGCUCUGAGCCACCGCGAUCCCUUCCUUAGAUAACUGCUUGUACCUCCAGAGGAGGCUGUGAGAGUGGAGCAUAAAUGAGCAAGGGCCCCAGAUGCUGCGCUUUGAAAUCCAUCCCUCAUUCUCACCGAGGCCAUGCCUCCCACAACCUCUCUCACCUGCCAAGCACUGGUGCAGCAGGGUCCGUAGGGCAGACCUGUUCCUGGGAGAUGGGAACUCCUCUGUCAGCAGACUUCAACUGAAAGACCCUCCCAUGGCUUUGCCAAACCUUUCUUAGACAGUACAGGACACUUCCUCUUCCACCUGGUCUCCUCCCUCUCCCCUUCACUGGGGACUUGCAUCAUAGUGUCUCCCACGAUGGCUCUCCCAGUCUUCCUGGACACUCCCAACCCCUACAAUUUUCUCUCACAUUGUCAUUUCCCCUAAUAAAAUCCUCACAUGUUUAAGAUCAUCUUGGCAUCUGCUUCUGGGAGGAUCUAGACUGAUACACACUCUAACUGGUCUCCCUGCCCUUGACCCUCCCCUAGCCCAGUCUAUUUUCAACACAGUAACUAGAGUGAUACUUUUAAACUCAGAUCCUAACUUCAAAAUACUGCAAAAGUCUCCCCAUUUCAUUAACAGUAAAGGCCAAGGUCCUUAAAAAUGCCCUCAUGAUCUACCAUCACCUGCUCCCCAUUACUACUCUGGCCUCAUCUUCAACAACUCUCAUCCUGGCUCACUCCUCUCCUACCACAUAGCAUCCUUGCUCUUUCUUGUUCGUAUCAGACACUGCUGCCUCAGGGCCUUUGCACAAACUGCUCUUUCUGCCUGGAAUAUGCUUCAUCCAGAUUCUGCAUAGCUAAGCCCCUCAUCUCCUUCAAGUGUUUGCUCACAUGGCAUCAUCUCCAUGAGGUCCCCCCUCACAAUCUGACUUAAUACUUAACCUGCCCCUCACUCCCGUGUUCCUGAUUACCCUCUUCUCUUUUUCUUUUUUUUCCCACAGCACUCAUCAUCUUCUAAAAUAUGAGGGGAUACCACUAACCUGUUGUCAGACACAACUCCUUCAUGGCUUCCUAGCACUGAGCCAUAGAAGAUAUGUUUGUCCUGCCUGUGAAAUUCACAAAAUCCUGCGUCUGCUGCUCCUGAUUUUGAAGAAAACUUCAGAGCUGGAAGUGUGAGAAGAGAAGCCCAACCCUGCGCCAGAAAACUGCAUGAAAACUGCCAUCUAUAAAUCAGAAAGCCAGACACCGCAUCUGCUGGGGCUUUGAUCUUGGACUUCCCAGACUCCAGAACUUUGAGAAAUAAAUGUUUGUUGUUUAUGAGCCAUCAGUCUAUGGUAUUCUGUUACAGCAGCCGGAAUGGACUAAGACAAAUGGCAUAAAUGGAAUAAUCUUCAAGAAAUGAUUAAGUAUAACUUAAUAAAGCAAGGUACAAAGGAAUAUGCUUAGUAUGCUACCAUUUGGUUGAAAAAGGUUGUAUGUAUAUAUGUGCAUAUGUAUCUAUAUGUAUAUAUGUGCAUAUAUAUGUUUGCUACAUCUAUCUAUAUAUCCAUAUCUAUAUCUGUAUCUAUAUAAUUUGUCUAUACAAUGUCUCUGAUAGAAUCCAUAAGAAGUUGUUAACAGUGGUUGUCUCCCAUGAGGAAUGGCUGGGGAAAAGGGUGUAUUAGAAACUCAAUUUUCACUCUCAGCUAUUUUGUGCCAUUUAAAUUUGCAUCAUGUGCCUUAAAAUAUCUAAUAAAAAAGAUAAAUAAAAAGUAUUUACUUUAUUGACCAAAAGAAAAAA
Molecule: long non-coding RNA, 2782 nt
Organism: Camelus dromedarius (Arabian camel)
Lineage: Eukaryota; Metazoa; Chordata; Mammalia; Artiodactyla; Camelidae
Exons: 4
Source: RefSeq, a predicted model, not a curated record